Molecule: unclassified non-coding RNA, 372 nt
Filed under: uncultured Gammaproteobacteria bacterium
Lineage: Bacteria; Pseudomonadati; Pseudomonadota; Gammaproteobacteria
Description: contains 16S-23S intergenic spacer region
Source: RNAcentral
UCCGGUUUGUCACCGGCAGUCUCAUUAGAGUGCCCUUUCGUAGCAACUAAUGACAAGGGUUGCGCUCGUUGCGGGACUUAACCCAACAUCUCACGACACGAGCUGACGACAGCCAUGCAGCACCUGUGUGCUGGUUCCCUUGCGGGCACGAGGACAUCUCUGCCCCCUUCCAGCCAUGUCAAGGGUAGGUAAGGUUUUUCGCGUUGCAUCGAAUUAAUCCACAUCAUCCACCGCUUGUGCGGGUCCCCGUCAAUUCCUUUGAGUUUUAAUCUUGCGACCGUACUCCCCAGGCGGUCGACUUCACGCGUUAGCUGCGUUACCAAGGAAAUAAAUCCCCGACAACUAGUCGACAUCGUUUAGGGCGUGGACUAC